GAUGAACGCUGGCGGCGUGCCUAAUACAUGCAAGUCGAGCGAACGGACGAGAAGCUUGCUUCUCUGAUGUUAGCGGCGGACGGGUAAGUAACACGUGGAUAACCUACCUAUAAGACUGGGAUAACUUCGGGAAACCGGAGCUAAUACCGGAUAAUAUUUUGAACCGCAUGGUUCAAAAGUGAAAGACGGUCUUGCUGUCACUUAUAGAUGUAUCCGCGCUGCAUUAGCUAGUUGGUAAGGUAACGGCUUACCAAGGCAACGAUGCAUAGCCGACCUGAGAGGGUGAUCGGCCACACUGGAACUGAGACACGGUCCAGACUCCUACGGGAGGCAGCAGUAGGGAAUCUUCCGCAAUGGGCGAAAGCCUGACGGAGCAACGCCGCGUGAGUGAUGAAGGUCUUCGGAUCGUAAAACUCUGUUAUUAGGGAAGAACAUAUGUGUAAGUAACUGUGCACAUCUUGACGGUACCUAAUCAGAAAGCCACGGCUAACUACGUG
Molecule: ribosomal RNA, 497 nt
Filed under: uncultured bacterium
Lineage: Bacteria
Description: partial 16S ribosomal RNA
Rfam family: Bacterial small subunit ribosomal RNA
Source: RNAcentral